This 468-nucleotide ribosomal RNA is filed under the name uncultured bacterium. Its description in RNAcentral is "partial 16S ribosomal RNA". It matches the Rfam family "Bacterial small subunit ribosomal RNA", at positions 28 to 507 of the family's 1533-position model. The record is from RNAcentral.
GACGAACGCUGGCGGCGUGCUUAACACAUGCAAGUCGAACGGAAAGGCCCUGCUUUUGUGGGGUGCUCGAGUGGCGAACGGGUGAGUAACACGUGAGUAACCUGCCCUUGACUUUGGGAUAACUUCAGGAAACUGGGGCGAAUACCGGAUAGGAGCUCCUGCUGCAUGGUGGGGGUUGGAAAGUUUCGGCGGUUGGGGAUGGACUCGCGGCUUAUCAGCUUGUUGGUGGGGUAGUGGCUUACCAAGGCUUUGACGGGUAGCCGGCCUGAGAGGGUGACCGGCCACAUUGGGACUGAGAUACGGCCCAGACUCCUACGGGAGGCAGCAGUGGGGAAUAUUGCACAAUGGGCGGAAGCCUGAUGCAGCAACGCCGCGUGCGGGAUGACGGCCUUCGGGUUGUAAACCGCUUUCGCCUGUGACGAAGCGUGCGUGACGGUAAUGGGUAAAGAAGCACCGGCUAACUACGUG